RNAcentral lists this ribosomal RNA (502 nucleotides) under uncultured bacterium. RNAcentral's name for it is "bacterial SSU rRNA". It matches the Rfam family "Bacterial small subunit ribosomal RNA", at positions 899 to 1397 of the family's 1533-position model. The record is from RNAcentral.
ACUCAAAGGAAUUGACGGGGGCUCACACAAGCGGUGGAGGAUGUGGCUUAAUUCGAGGCUACGCGAAGAACCUUAUCCUAGGCUUGACAUGCGGUUAUACCGUCCCUGAAAGGGGAGCCGGUCCGAAAGGAGACCAGCACAGGUGCUGCAUGGCUGUCGUCAGCUCGUGUCGUGAGAUGUCGGGUUAAGUCCCUUAACGAGCGAAACCCCUAUCAUUAGUUGCCAGCGCGUCAAGGCGGGGACUCUAGUGAGACUGCCGAUGUUAAAGAGGAGGAAGGUGGGGAUGACGUCAAGUCCUCAUGGCCCUUAUGCCUAGGGCUGCACACGUCCUACAAUGCCACACACAAAGGGAAGCAAAAUCGUGAGAUCGAGCAAAUCCCAAAAAAUGUGGCCCAGUUCGGAUUGUAGUCUGAAAUUCGACUACAUGAAGUCGGAAUCGCUAGUAAUCGCGGGUCAGAAUACCGCGGUGAAUGUGUUCCUGAGCCUUGCACACACCGCCCGU